Homarus americanus (American lobster) is the source of this 464-nucleotide long non-coding RNA. RefSeq lists it as uncharacterized. Lineage: Eukaryota; Metazoa; Arthropoda; Malacostraca; Decapoda; Nephropidae. The transcript is spliced from 3 exons. The record is from RefSeq and is a predicted model, not a curated record.
GUUUACACUUGAGUACCAGUCUAACGUGGUCACUCGGCGAGGGAGCCAAGAACUGUGUGACUCCAGUGAUAAAAUAAAUCUUACAUACUCAAUUGAAAUUGGUUGUCAAAGGCUGCCAGUGUUGUUGACUUUAUUAUUGUUACUGAUGUGAGUGUGUAAGGUGUGGUAGACAUUGUGGUGAAGGCAUAGAUGCGUUAGUAACAAGUGAGGUGGGCGGAGUAAGGCUACAAACCCACCCCUCAGCGGCGGUACAUAAUCAGGAAAUCAUCAACUUUACCAGAUUACCCCAUGUCUGGUAAGAACCAACCACGGUGAAUGGCCUGUCCGACCCAGUGACUGGUGGUGCAAGGCAACUGGGGUGUCACAGAGCUGCGCAGACCAAGUGGUCAUCGUAAUAUCGUAUGAUGACCACCAGUGACCUGCUCAGCCCCAGGCAAUUACGCAGUUGUAAGCGUCACGUAAGU